RNAcentral lists this transfer RNA (73 nucleotides) under Paroedura masobe. Its description in RNAcentral is "tRNA-Ile". Lineage: Eukaryota; Metazoa; Chordata; Lepidosauria; Squamata; Gekkonidae. The record is from RNAcentral.
AGAAACGUGCCCGAAUGCAACAAGGACUACUUUGAUAGAGUACACCACAGGGGCUUAACUCCCCUCGUUUCCU